Molecule: long non-coding RNA, 203 nt
Filed under: Elaeis guineensis (African oil palm)
Lineage: Eukaryota; Viridiplantae; Streptophyta; Magnoliopsida; Arecales; Arecaceae
Description: long non-coding RNA (EGUI_LNC021462)
Source: RNAcentral
CAUGCUAAUGGCAACUAUGAUUUCAAGUUGUUGGGAGGAAAGAAAUUCUAGAAUUUUUCUAAGAAAAAGUUCAACUGAAGAGGCUAUUUUUGGAAAAGUGGUGUUGGGUAUAAAAUACCCCCCCGACCGAAGCUUGUAAAGGACCGAUCCUUCUAGGGCUCUUCCGGCUCUCGAUCUUGUGCGUGGUGCCUCUUCGAACCUCC